This is a long non-coding RNA of Tupaia belangeri chinensis (Chinese tree shrew), 580 nucleotides long. RefSeq lists it as uncharacterized. The transcript has 3 exons. The record is from RefSeq and is a predicted model, not a curated record. NCBI's taxonomy places the organism in Eukaryota, Metazoa, Chordata, Mammalia, Scandentia, Tupaiidae.
ACUGGGCGGGCGAAGCUGGGCGACUCCGCCGAGCCCCACGCCUUCGCAUUUGCCCAUCCCUGUUUUAAAACUUGACCUUAAAAUUGUAACUGGUUUCCUCUUUCUGCAGGUGGAUCCUCUCUGAUACAGGUGAAAGAGCAGUGUGGUCAUUCAGGGCGAGGAGAUGGGAGGGCCCACGAUAACAUCCGAUGAACUCCGACACUUAGCAGUGAAUGAGUAGGAGGCCCGCAGGUGGCCUGGUGGUUAAAGGCGCUGGACUCCCACUCAAUGAUGCCCCUGAGCUGGAGGUGCUCAUUGGUGCUAUCAACAUUGAUUGAUUCAGCUUUAGAUGUUGUCUCCUGCUCCUCAGACCAGACUGUGAACUUGUGAAGGGUGGGGUCCAAGUCUGAUUCAGCUCCUGCACCACAGCAGGUGCCUCAGGAAGCCUCCGGGAUCAUCACAACAUUUGCUGUGCAUGUGCCCAUGACCCAGGGCUGGCUGAGGCUGGGAGUGAACUGCAGCGUCAAGACCAAGUUAGGGUGCUGUCUUUGUCUCUUUUUGCCCCUCUUGCUCAUGGAAGAAAUAAAUAAUGAACUUUAAA